This 404-nucleotide ribosomal RNA is filed under the name uncultured Acidimicrobiales bacterium. Its description in RNAcentral is "bacterial SSU rRNA". It matches the Rfam family "Bacterial small subunit ribosomal RNA", at positions 353 to 772 of the family's 1533-position model. The record is from RNAcentral. Lineage: Bacteria; Bacillati; Actinomycetota; Acidimicrobiia; Acidimicrobiales.
AGUGGGGAAUCUUGCGCAAUGGGCGAAAGCCUGACGCAGCAACGCCGCGUGGGGGAUGAAGGCUCUCGGGUUGUAAACCCCUUUCAGUAGGGACGAAUCAAGACGGUACCUACAGAAGAAGCCCCGGCCAACUACGUGCCAGCAGCCGCGGUAACACGUAGGGGGCAAGCGUUGUCCGGAUUUAUUGGGCGUAAAGAGCUCGUAGGCGGUUCGGUAAGUCGGGUGUGAAACCUCCAGGCUCAACCUGGAGACGCCACCCGAUACUGCUGUGACUCGAGUCCGGUAGGGGAGCGUGGAAUUCCUGGUGUAGCGGUGAAAUGCGCAGAUAUCAGGAGGAACACCAGCGGCGAAGGCGGCGCUCUGGGCCGGAACUGACGCUGAGGAGCGAAAGCGUGGGUAGCAAA